AAAGAAAAUAACAAUGAUUCCCCUAGUAACUGCGAGUGAAGAGGGACAAGCUCAAAUUUUAAAUCUAUCGGGUUUUACCCGAUCGAGUUGUAAUUUGAAGAAGCGUUUUCUGCGUUUUUGGUCAGCCCAAGUCCUAUUGAAUGAGGCAUCAUGGAGGGUGAUAAUCCCGUCCGGUUGAUCAUUUGCGUUUUACGAUACGCUUUCUAAGAGUCAAGUUGUUUGGGAUUGCAGCUUAAAAUGGGAGGUAAAUUUCUCCUAAGGCUAAAUAACGGCGAGAGACCGAUAGCGAACAAGUACCGUGAGGGAAAGAUGAAAAGAACUUCGAAAAGAGAGUUAAACAGUACGUGAAAUUGUUGAAAGGGAAACGAUUGAAGCCAGUCGUACCUUCGGGUAAUCAGCCUUUCGGGUGCGAUUCUGUGGAGUGUGAGGAGCUUAACACCUUCAUGCUUUGCAUAUUUGUGCUCUUGGGUGUACUUGCCCGUGUGGUUGGUUAACAUCAAUUUUAAUUAUCAUAAAAUGACUGGAGGAAUGUAGCUUCGAUCUCGUAUUGAAGUGUUAUAGCCUUCGGUAGAUGUGAUGAUCGAGAUUGAGGAUUGCAACGGAUACCCUUCGGGGCUACCUGUCUGGUCUCUGAUCGUUGCUCUGGUGCCGAAAGCGUGCUUACGGUUAUCAAAGUCGAUGGUCAAUAGGUUAGAACGGGUUAAAUU
This 707-nucleotide ribosomal RNA is filed under the name uncultured Glomeromycotina. Its description in RNAcentral is "eukaryotic LSU rRNA". It matches the Rfam family "Eukaryotic large subunit ribosomal RNA", at positions 58 to 632 of the family's 3401-position model. Lineage: Eukaryota; Fungi; Glomeromycota. The record is from RNAcentral.